GAUGAACGCUGGCGGCGUGCCUAAUACAUGCAAGUCGAGCGAACAGACGAGGAGCUUGCUCCUCUGACGUUAGCGGCGGACGGGUGAGUAACACGUGGAUAACCUACCUAUAAGACUGGGAUAACUUCGGGAAACCGGAGCUAAUACCGGAUAAUAUAUUGAACCGCAUGGUUCAAUAGUGAAAGACGGUUUUGCUGUCACUUAUAGAUGGAUCCGCGCCGCAUUAGCUAGUUGGUAAGGUAACGGCUUACCAAGGCAACGAUGCGUAGCCGACCUGAGAGGGUGAUCGCCACAGGGGGAACUGAGACCGGGUCAGGCUCACACGGGGAGGCACAAUGGGGGAUUUUGCGACAAGGGGCAAAAGCCGGAGGAGACAACGCGGGGGGAGUGAAGAAGGUUUGGGAAUCGAAAACCUUUUUUAUGGGGAAAGAAAAAUUGUAAAGUAAAAACCCCCCGUUUUGACGGUACCUAAAGAAAAAGCCCGGGCUAACUACGUG
This 497-nucleotide ribosomal RNA is filed under the name uncultured bacterium. RNAcentral describes it as "partial 16S ribosomal RNA". It matches the Rfam family "Bacterial small subunit ribosomal RNA", at positions 28 to 507 of the family's 1533-position model. The record is from RNAcentral.